AUACGGAGGGUGCAAGCGUUACUCGGAAUCACUGGUCGUAAAGCGCGCGCAGGCGGUCUUUUAAGUUGGAUGUGAAAGCCUACGGCUCAACCGUAGAACUGCAUCCAAAACUAUUAGACUAGAGUGUGGGAGAGGAAGAUGGAAUUAGUUGUGUAGGGGUAAAAUCCGUAGAGAUAACUAGGAAUACCAAAAGCGAAGGCAAUCUUCUGGAACACUACUGACGCUGAGGCGCGAAAGCGUGGGGAGCAAACGGGAUUAGAUACCCUAGUAGUCC
Molecule: ribosomal RNA, 274 nt
Filed under: uncultured bacterium
Lineage: Bacteria
Description: partial 16S ribosomal RNA
Rfam family: Bacterial small subunit ribosomal RNA
Source: RNAcentral